ACGCGAUGAACCUUACCAGGUCUUGACAUCCUCUGACACUCCUAGAGAUAGGACGUUCCCCUUCGGGGGACAGAGUGACAGGUGGUGCAUGGUUGUCGUCAGCUCGUGUCGUGAGAUGUUGGGUUAAGUCCCGCAACGAGCGCAACCCUUGAUCUUAGUUGCCAGCAUUAAGUUGGGCACUCUAAGGUGACUGCCGGUGACAAACCGGAGGAAGGUGGGGAUGACGUCAAAUCAUCAUGCCCCUUAUGACCUGGGCUACACACGUGCUACAAUGGAUGGUACAAAGGGCAGCAAAACCGCGAGGUCGAGCAAAUCCCAUAAAACCAUUCUCAGUUCGGAUUGUAGGCUGCAACUCGCCUACAUGAAGCUGGAAUCGCUAGUAAUCGCGGAUCAGCAUGCCGCGGUGAAUACGUUCCCGGGCCUUGCACUCACCGCCCGU
RNAcentral lists this ribosomal RNA (439 nucleotides) under uncultured bacterium. RNAcentral's name for it is "bacterial SSU rRNA". It matches the Rfam family "Bacterial small subunit ribosomal RNA", at positions 959 to 1397 of the family's 1533-position model. The record is from RNAcentral.